Molecule: ribosomal RNA, 264 nt
Filed under: uncultured archaeon
Lineage: Archaea
Description: partial 16S ribosomal RNA
Rfam family: Archaeal small subunit ribosomal RNA
Source: RNAcentral
ACACGACUACAUUAGAUACCCCGGUAGUCCCAGCCGUAAACGAUGCGCGUUAGGUGUAUCGGUGACCACGAGUCACCGAGGUGCCGAAGGGAAACCGUGAAACGUGCCGCCUGGGAAGUACGGUCGCAAGGCUGAAACUUAAAGGAAUUGGCGGGGAGCACCACAACGGGUGGAGCCUGCGGUUUAAUUGGACUCAACGCCGGGAAGCUCACCGGAUAAGACAGCGGAAUGAUUGCCGGGCUGAAGACUCUGCAUGACUAGCUG